AUUGUUUUGCCUUCUAUAUGGUGCCAUUGACUUACCUUAAGUCAUCGUAGAUCCCUGAUCAACUUUUUCAAGAAUGAUCGUCCAGUUGUUUCUACAUUUCUUUCUGCGUUUAAAGUGGUCUGCCGUCUUGGAGAAUCAGUUUAAUUUAUGAAGAUGUGUGGGGCACAAAAACAACAAUGAGGUCGGGUUGACGCCUGUCUACCGUGGUGUUUGGCUGGGCUUCCCUUCUCCAAUGUAGCCAGCGCAAACAGGGUGCUACCAAGCUCAAAGAUUAGAUUUGUAAACAAAAGUGUAGAAAUUAUCUUGAGAUGGUAAAGAUGGUGUUAGGUUGACUGUUUUAUUUGGAACAAUUUUAGGCUUUGUGUUUGAACCAGGGAAUAUAAGUUUUUAGUUGAAGAUGCAUUUUUUGGCCAAAAAACUAGAUUGUAUGGACACCUAACACGGGUUUACAUGUAUUUUUGCCUCUUGAAAAAGAAAGUUAAGUGACACUUUCCAAAUGGCAUAGCUCAGCAAAUAAAAAACCUUCAUCCAAACAUUCAUUGAAAUCUUAAAUUCUUGAAAAACUAGAAAAAUUAAUUCAUGUCUUACUGGUUUCUAAACUGCUUUCCAUUUAUUUUCUGAACUUUCAAAAUUGUAUGCAUAAUUUUUGUCAAAGUGUAUGAAUUUCUUCAAAAUAAUUAUAAGCAGUUACUGUAUUGCCCAUCAUACUCCUGGAAAGUUUUAGCAAGAUAGAAUACGAUGCUAUAAUAGAAAAAGAUGCUAUGUUUUCUCCAAAUUAAAAAAAAAACAACUCAGAGGGCCUUGCAUUUCAAUAUAAGUAGAAUCUUUCUUCUGACUUGGUAACAUGCACAUCAUAUUGAAAUGAAUAUUUUGAAGAAGUUUAAAUACAGAAAGGUUCGCAAAUAUAUUUUUUAUCUACAUAGUACUGAAACACAGGCAAAGUCUGAAU
This is a long non-coding RNA of Acanthaster planci (crown-of-thorns starfish), 949 nucleotides long. Lineage: Eukaryota; Metazoa; Echinodermata; Asteroidea; Valvatida; Acanthasteridae. The record is from RefSeq and is a predicted model, not a curated record.